AUAAACGCUGGCGGCGUGCCUUAUGCAUGCAAGUCGCGCGACGAACCGGCUUCGGCCGGGGAAAGCGGCGGACGGGUGAGUAACACGUAGGAACCUGCCCGAAAGUGGGGGACAACUCCGGGAAACCGGGGCUAAUACCGCAUACGGUCUACGGACCAAAGCUUCGGCGCUUUCGGAGGGGCCUGCGGCGGAUUAGCUAGUUGGUGGGGUAACGGCCUACCAAGGCGACGAUCCGUAGCUGGUCUGAGAGGACGGCCAGCGACACUGGGACUGAGACACGGCCCAGACUCCUACGGGAGGCAGCAGCAAGGAAUUUUCCGCAAUGGGCGAAAGCCUGACGGAGCAACGCCGCGUGGGGGAAGAAGGCUCUCGAGUUGUAAACCCCUUUUGCGAGGGAAGAAGAUCUGACGGUACCUCGCGAAUAAGCCACGGCUAACUACGU
Molecule: ribosomal RNA, 442 nt
Filed under: uncultured bacterium
Lineage: Bacteria
Description: bacterial SSU rRNA
Rfam family: Bacterial small subunit ribosomal RNA
Source: RNAcentral